GACGUAGGAGGCGAGCGUUGUCCGGAAUCAUUGGGCGUAAAGAGCGCGCAGGCGGCUUGGCAAGUCGGGUGUGAAAUCCCGGGGCUCAACCCCGGGACUGCAUUCGAUACUGUCAGGCUAGAGGUAGGUAGGGGAGAUCGGAAUUCCUGGUGUAGCGGUGAAAUGCGCAGAUAUCAGGAGGAACACCGGUGGCGAAGGCGGAUCUCUGGGCCUUACCUGACGCUCAGGCGCGAAAGCUAGGGGAGCGAACAGG
RNAcentral lists this ribosomal RNA (253 nucleotides) under uncultured bacterium. RNAcentral describes it as "partial 16S ribosomal RNA". It matches the Rfam family "Bacterial small subunit ribosomal RNA", at positions 524 to 776 of the family's 1533-position model. The record is from RNAcentral.